RNAcentral lists this long non-coding RNA (1307 nucleotides) under Mus spicilegus (steppe mouse). RNAcentral's name for it is "lncRNA (ENSMSIG00000005303.1)". Lineage: Eukaryota; Metazoa; Chordata; Mammalia; Rodentia; Muridae. The record is from RNAcentral.
UCAGGAUGAUGUGCUGGAGGAAGGCUUGACUUGUGAGUCUUGAGUGGGGUUUGUGUGCUGUUCUGCUUCUGGUUAGCAGUCAUAAGGUUAGCAUAGUGAGUGUGUUCUAAAGAACUGGUGAAAUGGGGAAAUAGGGCCGUUCUGGGCCCUUCUGUUUUGGCACUUAGAUCCCCACAGGUCUCCUCUACCUCCUCUGUGAAGUCACUGAGAUCUGAGUUUCCUGCCCUCCCACUGCCUUCAGUGGUAUCUUAGAGCGCAUAGUAGGUGCUCACUGAGCCGGUAAGAUUGCUCAGUCCAUAAAGUGCUCACCAUGCAAGUAUGAAGACCUGAGUUCGGAUCUCCAGUGCUCACUUAAGAAUCCAGGUGCAGGGGUUUUAAACCCCAGCACUGGGGAGUUGGGGGCAGGUAGAUCCCUGGAACUCCGCCGCCAGCCAGUCUACACGAUUUUUGCCAGCUCCAGGUUCAGUGAGAGACUCUGCCUCAAAAACAAAAAACAAAACAAAACAACAACAACAACAACAACAACAACAACAACAACAACAAAAACUAUGGAGAGUGACUGAGGAAGGAGCUGGCAUUGAGCACUGGCCCUCAUUCGCAUGUGUGCACAUGUGCACGUACCUCCACGCUCACACUCAUAUGUACAUAUUAAAUAGGCACACAAGUUAGUGCGAUGUAACUGUGCAGAGUCUUAAGAGAGGAUACCAUGAUGGGCCAGAGACAGCCACCAUCCCUUGAGUGACAAUGUUCAGUUCCCACCCCUUGAGCCAGGAUGGGUCUCAAAGCUCAAGUCUCAUCAUCAAAGGGGUGAUCGGUGCGAUCUCUGUUCUAGGACCCUCGGCCAGCAUACGAGCAACUGAUGCCCCUGAUGGUGUGUGCUGCAAAGACCCUGGCAAGAGGGAGGUGAGGCCUGUGGAUGACCCAUCCCAGACCUAGCCUUGGGGGAACAGGGCUGGAAGGAACAGAGCCACCUCCCACCGGUGUCACCCUCCAACACACGCGAACAGAGCCACCUCCCACCGGUGUCACCCUCCAACACACGCGCAGCGCAGGACUGCGAUGCUGGCAAGGCCUCCGGUUGAUGUACUGUAGACUUUACAAAGCGCUCCGAGGCCAGGCAAGAUGGCUCAGCUGGUAAAGAUGCUUGCAGAGCAGGACUGGAGACUGACUUUGAUCCCUAGAACUCUUGAAACAUGAGAAAAAAGUGGAUUCUUCCAAGUCGUUCUCCGACCUCUCCAUGUGCACUACAUGCACACAUACAUUCUAACAAUAAUAAAUAAAACAAAACAGGCCUGGCGAUAUUUCCC